CGAGCCUCGUGCUCUUCUCGAAUUUUCUUCCUUCUCAAUUUUCAUCUCGUGAGUGUAGCAACAUGAAUUAUAGCUUGUCAAGCAAUACAUUUUCUCAGCGUUGAGAAGAUUCUGCUCCAUUUUUUCUGAUUAUGGAUUCUGUUCAGAAGGAAGCCGAAUUUUAAGUCAUCGUUCUAGGAUAGAUUCAGCUCCAUUUUCUCUGGUGGUAGAUCUCCAUGGAUGCUAUUGAGAAGGUACUUCUCAAAGUCCACGAGGACAAGGACAUCUUUCCACCGAAUGCCACCUGGUUUAUAACAAAAGCAUGAAAAACAAACAGGAAUUUCUCAAUGCAGAAAGGACUGAAGCUGUCAAAGGUGUGCUUUUUUUCUGCACAAACAAGUUUCCAUUGAAUGAUAGAAUAAAGAGAUACUGACUUCCCCGGAGCCUCCAAACUUGAGUAGUCAGCAGGCAUUGGGAUCCGUGGAAGGCUUGUUAAAUCCAAAUAGAUUGGUCCUACUCCAUCCGCAGAGUUGCUGACGAGGUGCGUCCAGGCCUUCUCCUCACCUCUCAGGGAGAUAUACCAUGCAGUGCCUUCAGUUAUGGUGUUGUGACUGAGGAUGCUUCGGUCAGACAUGUCCCUGAAAACCUGCAUAGAGGAAUCUCUUGCCCCAAGUUUCAUUCCAAGUAUUUAAAUUGGAAUUGAGCAUCCUGUCAUGCCAGGGAUGAGAAUGCCUGGGUUACAUCAGUUAGCCCUCUCCUCUUGAGGAAUGGCAUAUUACCCAUUUUAGCUGCACUUCAAGGGAAGUUAUUGAAUAUGUCCUAUCCAACUAAAACAAGGAAAUGAUGAAAAAAAUAAAAUCACUUUCCAGAGGCCUCAGGGCUAACUGGAGACAGAGCUCAGACUGCAACUGAGAAAAGUUGGACUCCAAAACCUGUACUCUGAGCUUUACUGCAUGAGAAAGUUAUUGAAAUGUGCCUUGUGACAUUCAGAAUAAGUGACUUUUCAGAGGUCUCAGAGUCAGUAAGAGACAGAACUCAGAUUGUAACCAAGAAGAGCUGAACUCCAAACUUCUGUGUCCGGAAUUGGUGGGUUCUUGGUCUCACUGACUUCAAGAAUGAAGCGGCAGACCCUCGCGG
This 1116-nucleotide long non-coding RNA is filed under the name Homo sapiens (human). RNAcentral describes it as "HSALNT0281134". Lineage: Eukaryota; Metazoa; Chordata; Mammalia; Primates; Hominidae. The record is from RNAcentral.